This 81-nucleotide ribosomal RNA is filed under the name Escherichia coli. RNAcentral also lists the same sequence under 7 other names. The record is from RNAcentral. Lineage: Bacteria; Pseudomonadati; Pseudomonadota; Gammaproteobacteria; Enterobacterales; Enterobacteriaceae.
CCUGGCGGCCGUAGCGCGGUGGUCCCACCUGACCCCAUGCCGAACUCAGAAGUGAAACGCCGUAGCGCCGAUGGUAGUGUG